UCCCGCCGCCGUGCAAACCCUAGCUUGCUCCCCUGCCGUCCUACGCCUCCGUGUCCUCCGCAGCGCCGUCAUCGCGUUGCAUCUCCCUGCGCUCCGCCACCCGCCCCGUUCGCCAUCCCACGCGGUGAGGCCCUCUCCCCCUGCUGCCCCGCUCGAUGGCGAUCCGAUCCGGCGAGCUCCUGCCAUCCCGGCUCCGGCGUGAAUCCACCCUGGAGAAGACGCCGACAUCUUCCUACAUAGGACGCCGGCAUGUUCCUACACAUGUGGCGCCGUCCCCGCGACUAGGAGGAGACCGACCUGCUACUGCUGCUACUGCUCGUCUCCAACGACAGCAGCGACGAUGCUAGGGAUGAAUUACCCCUCCCGUCUCUCCCGAAUUUUUAUGAUUCGUCUCGUCGAGGGAAAUCAUCGCCUGAGGUGUUGGAAUCUCGGCUUCAAGUGGCGCGAGGUAGUGGAGCUCCGUGUCGGAGAGCGGCCACGCCCAAAGAUGUGGAGUUCCGCAGCGGAGACCACGCCGGCAAAGGCUGCUGAGCCGGUGGUGGUGGUCGGGCCAGUGUCCAAGGUGGAGAACGCGAGGUUGUUCCACAUGGACUCCUGGUACACAUUCAGCACACCUGAUGCUAUGAAUUUGCAAAACACGUCCAAGAUGGCGACCAAGACCAAGUAUUGCACGGGGAGGAUCAAGUUGUAUCGUGAUCCCUAUUGCCAACUACUCUGUCGACAGCACUGCUUCUCCUGUGUCAUUCUUUGAAGUGAGCAAUGAGUACGAUGUAUGUAAGCCCCUACAAAAUCCCAAUCAACUAGUUGUUUUGAACUUCAUAUGGUAGAACCAUCUACAAAAUCACCAGCAAGUCAGCAACUAGGUCUAGCACAAGGCAUGUGUGUGGUAUGCGAAAGGUGACGACAACUUUUCUUCCCAUACCGGAUGAGAAGAGGGUGCAUAUUCUACCUAAGAUGCAUAGUAGUAGCACUAAGUCGGCUAGCAUCAUUAUCGUGAGGUUGUGUAUCUUUGUCGGGAAGUUGCAUAUCGAUGUGCCUUAGUUGUGUAGUGAUUUGUUAUGAAGGUGUAUUUUUGUUGCUAUUAAAUUAUCUAGUUACUCACGGCACUAGAAACUAUGAUGGAUAACUAGUAGUGUAAUGUUGCAAGUCUCAUUACUGGCUAUUGUUGCUAAGUAAGUACCUUAGAAAAUAAAUUGGCUAUAAAGUAUAAAAAAAUAUAGUGUAAGCAACUUUUGUACAAAGUUGUUUUUUUACAACAGUAAAGUUGAUUUAUCACG
Long non-coding RNA from Lolium rigidum, 1277 nucleotides. RefSeq lists it as uncharacterized. The record is from RefSeq and is a predicted model, not a curated record. The transcript is spliced from 4 exons. Lineage: Eukaryota; Viridiplantae; Streptophyta; Magnoliopsida; Poales; Poaceae.